CGGUGGGCCAGUGGCAAGCCAGCGCAGCAAGUGUAUUUUCAAGCACCGUCGCACCCUCAUAACUUGACCUCAGGGAGCGGAUGAUGAGGACUUAACCAGCUGGCUGGAACCAGCACGGCGAAGAAACAGCAAGGCACUGAGCGAAGUGCACGGCGGGUCUUGAGGGUUGAGGAUCACCGGCUGGCACUGCCUGCCAGCCAAGCCAUUACACGAGGAUUGUUUGUUCUGUCAUUCGCAAGUUAGACGUUGCAGGGUAUGCAUGAUGGUGUCGAAUGUCUAAGAUAAAGCAUCGUGCGACAUAGGAACCCGAACCGGUGCAGGCCGCCGGCAACGUGUUCAUGACCCCUUAAGAAAGCACAAAAACGCCCCAACCCGACGCGACCCAACACAGCAUUACAAUCAAGAUGUCAACGGCUCUGAAGUAUUGCUCAACGGGGAGUUAGCGAAGAUUCAUACCAGUCAGGCAACUCUGCCAGGCAAACCAAACCACCAAACGCUCGCGGUGCCCCCGACUGGUCGUCCAUUGAAGUCUUGACUGG
Molecule: long non-coding RNA, 539 nt
Filed under: Volvox carteri
Lineage: Eukaryota; Viridiplantae; Chlorophyta; Chlorophyceae; Chlamydomonadales; Volvocaceae
Description: long non-coding RNA (VCAR_LNC000715)
Source: RNAcentral